UACGUAGGGUGCGAGCGUUGUCCGGAAUUACUGGGCGUAAAGAGCCCGUAGGUGGUUUGUCGCGUUGUUCGUGAAAACUCACAACUCAAUUGUGGGCGUGCGGGCGAUACGGGCAGACUGGAGUACUGCAGGGGAGACUGGAAUUCCUGGUGUAGCGGUGGAAUGCGCAGAUAUCAGGAGGAACACCGGUGGCGAAGGCGGGUCUCUGGGCAGUAACUGACGCUGAGGAGCGAAAGCGUGGGGAGCGAACAGG
Molecule: ribosomal RNA, 253 nt
Filed under: uncultured bacterium
Lineage: Bacteria
Description: partial 16S ribosomal RNA
Rfam family: Bacterial small subunit ribosomal RNA
Source: RNAcentral